GAUGAACCAUCUUAUCAUGAUCUUUCCACUGGCUUCACCAAGUCAGCUUAAGGGAGACCAUUAAAAGGGCUGGUCUAGGAGCACCUAAAUCAGUCACACUAAUUUACCUAGCUGACAUGGGUCAGCUCGAAUAGUCAAGUGAUCCGAUCAAAACAUAAUUUCACCAAGAGGCCAGGUAAGUUCGAUCAGUGGGAGGAUC
RNAcentral lists this long non-coding RNA (199 nucleotides) under Elaeis guineensis (African oil palm). RNAcentral's name for it is "long non-coding RNA (EGUI_LNC050493)". Lineage: Eukaryota; Viridiplantae; Streptophyta; Magnoliopsida; Arecales; Arecaceae. The record is from RNAcentral.